Gossypium arboreum is the source of this 74-nucleotide transfer RNA. It matches the Rfam family "tRNA". From Rfam's summary of the family: Transfer RNA (tRNA) molecules are approximately 80 nucleotides in length. Their secondary structure includes four short double-helical elements and three loops (D, anti-codon, and T loops). Further hydrogen bonds mediate the characteristic L-shaped molecular structure. tRNAs have two regions of fundamental functional importance: the anti-codon, which is responsible for specific mRNA codon recognition, and the 3' end, to which the tRNAs corresponding amino acid is attached (by aminoacyl-tRNA synthetases). tRNAs cope with the degeneracy of the genetic code in two manners: having more than one tRNA (with a specific anti-codon) for a particular amino acid; and 'wobble' base-pairing, i.e. permitting non-standard base-pairing at the 3rd anti-codon position. Lineage: Eukaryota; Viridiplantae; Streptophyta; Magnoliopsida; Malvales; Malvaceae. The record is from Rfam.
GCUGGAAUAGCUCAAUUGGUUAGAGCGUAUGGCUGUUAACCAUAAGGUUGGAGGUUUGAGCCCUCUUUCUAGAG